RNAcentral lists this ribosomal RNA (250 nucleotides) under uncultured bacterium. Its description in RNAcentral is "partial 16S ribosomal RNA". It matches the Rfam family "Bacterial small subunit ribosomal RNA", at positions 524 to 773 of the family's 1533-position model. The record is from RNAcentral.
UACAGAGGGUGCAAGCGUUAAUCGGAAUUACUGGGCGUAAAGCGCGCGUAGGUGGGAAGAUAAGUUGGAUGUGAAAUCCCCGGGCUUAACCUGGGAAGGUCAUCCAGUACUGUUUUUCUAGAGUACAGUAGAGGGAAGUGGAAUUUCCGGUGUAGCGGUGAAAUGCGUAGAUAUCGGAAGGAACACCAGUGGCGAAGGCGGCUUCCUGGACUGAUACUGACACUGAGGCGCGAGAGCGUGGGGAGCGAAC